RNAcentral lists this ribosomal RNA (467 nucleotides) under uncultured bacterium. RNAcentral's name for it is "partial 16S ribosomal RNA". It matches the Rfam family "Bacterial small subunit ribosomal RNA", at positions 28 to 506 of the family's 1533-position model. The record is from RNAcentral.
GACGAACGCUGGCGGCGUGCUUAACACAUGCCAGUCGAACGGAAAGGCCCUGCUUUUGUGGGGUGCUCGAGUGGCGAACGGGUGAGUAACACGUGAGUAACCUGCCCUUGACUUUGGGAUAACUUCAGGAAACUGGGGCUAAUACCGGAUAGGAGCUCCUGCUGCAUGGUGGGGGUUGGAAAGUUUCGGCGGUUGGGGAUGGACGCGCGGCUUAUCAGCUUGUUGGUGGGGUAGUGGCUUACCAAGGCUUUGACGGGUAGCCGGCCUGAGAGGGUGACCGGCCACAUUGGGACUGAGAUGCGGCCCAGACGCCUACGGGCGGCAGCAGUGGGGAAUAUUGCACAAUGGGCGGAAGCCUGAAGCAGGAACGCCGGGUGCGAGAUGACGGCCUUCGGGGUGUAAACGGCUUUCGCCUGUGACGAAGCGUGAGUGACGGUACUGGGGAAAGAAGCACCGGCUAACUACGU